UGCAGUCAGAUCGGAGUCUGCAUGUUCAAUGGAAAACAAUCCGUGGGCUCUGGAAUCAGGUCUGUGGUUAACAAUAACUAUAAUACAAGCUCCGAUGAUCUUGUGUGCACUGCAUGUGAGCUAGCAGUGGGUUGGGUCCAGAAUCAACUUAAAAUAGACGAGAAUAAGGACAGGAUACUGACCUACAUCAACGAGCUUUGCGAGAAGCUACCCAGCCCCAUGGGAGAAUCUGUAAUAGAUUGCAACCGUCUUUCGGCCAUGCCAAACAUCACUUUCACCAUCGGAGAUAAACUCUUCAAUCUCAAACCUGAUCAGUAUAUG
Molecule: long non-coding RNA, 321 nt
Filed under: Zostera marina
Lineage: Eukaryota; Viridiplantae; Streptophyta; Magnoliopsida; Alismatales; Zosteraceae
Description: long non-coding RNA (ZMAR_LNC004808)
Source: RNAcentral